AUCAACUUUCGAUGGUAGGAUAGAGGCCUACCAUGGUAGUAACGGGUAACGGAGUGUUAGGGCACGACACCGGAGAGGGAGCCUGAGAAACGGCUACCACAUCCAAGGACGGCAGCAGGCGCGCAAAUUACCCAAUCCCGACACGGGGAGGUAGUGACAAUAAAUAACAAUACGGGGUCCUUACGGUCUCGUAAUUGGAAUGAGUACAAUUUAAGUCUCUUAACGAGAAACAAUUGGAGGGCAAGUCUGGUGCCAGCAGCCGCGGUAAUUCCAGCUCCAAUAGCGUAUAUUAAAGUUGUUGCAGUUAAAAAGCUUGUAGUUGAAUUUCGGGAUCAAUUUAUCGGUCGUGCCAAUGGUAUGAACUGGUACAAUUGGUUUCUCCCUUCUGAUGAAGCUYGAUGUCAUUAACUUGGUGUCGUGGGGAAUCAGGACUGUUACUUUGAAAAAAUUAGAGUGUUUAAAGCAGGCCUUGGCUUGAAUACAUUAGCAUGGAAUAAUGAAAUAGGACGUUUGAUCCUAUUUCGUUGGUUUCUAGGAUCGACGUAAUGAUUAAUAGGGAUAGUUGGGGGCAUUAGUAUUCAAUUGUCAGAGGUGAAAUUCUUGGAUUUAUUGAAGACUAACUACUGCGAAAGCAUUUGCCAAGGAUGUUUUCAUUAAUCAAGAACGAAAGUUAGGGGAUCGAAGACGAUCAGAUACUGUCGUAGUCUUAACCAUAAACUAUGCCAACUAGGGAUCGGAUGAUGUUAAUUUUUUAAUGACUCAUUCGGCGCCUUACGGGAAACCAAAGUGUUUGGGUUC
RNAcentral lists this ribosomal RNA (798 nucleotides) under uncultured Glomeromycotina. RNAcentral's name for it is "SSU rRNA". It matches the Rfam family "Eukaryotic small subunit ribosomal RNA", at positions 316 to 1125 of the family's 1831-position model. The record is from RNAcentral. Lineage: Eukaryota; Fungi; Glomeromycota.